RNAcentral lists this long non-coding RNA (956 nucleotides) under Numida meleagris (helmeted guineafowl). RNAcentral's name for it is "lncRNA (ENSNMEG00000018069.1)". Lineage: Eukaryota; Metazoa; Chordata; Aves; Galliformes; Numididae. The record is from RNAcentral.
CCUGGUUUGUGGAAACGCAGCCGGUGCAGUGCUUUGGCACGAGGACACCUGGGUGUGGGGAGAAGACAAUGGGGCAGGGGCACUGAUAGGGCUGCUGGCCACAUGCAGCCUCACCUGGGACCCCCACCCACCCAUGGGCAAGGAUCCCUAUAAGAUCAGUGUCCAGGCACUACACCUGGUUCUGCUUCCUUGAUAGAUGCUGACCUCCCUGCAGCUCUUUCAUGGACUUCUCACCCUGCCAUGGACUUCUCACCCUGCCAUGGACUUCUCACCCUGCCAUGGACCUUGGUGGAAGCCCUUCAACUCAAAAAAAUGAAAUUCCACGUGGAGGAGGAGGCAAUUAUCAGCUCAGGGAGAAGCGCAUGCUUGAGAAGGAUGGGAAAGUCCAACACCACUUUUACUCCAGGAAAACAAACAAACUACAAAACUUAAUUGCUUUGCAGACAGCAGCUCUUGUGCCAGGGCGGUUUAUCUCAGCAAUAGCAAUCAAGGCUCCUGCUUGGAUGUGGGCAGCUGCUGGGGGGCAGCUAGCAGCGCUCCAAAAAGUCUCCUGGUGUCAGCGGGCAGCUGAGAGUGGGCAAGAGAUGUGCAAGCAGAAGGAUAACAGGGGGAAAGCAGCAGUUUGAAUGCAGCCCAACUCCUGGUCUGCGAGGGCUUGACAUAAGUAUUUAAGCCUUUGGAUGGGAUCUGGUGAUAGCGGAGGGCUGGAAAGCGCGCUGCUUUUGUGGUUAAAAGUCCUUUUGUCGGUCCAUAAAUCCCGAGCGAGCUCUGUUUAUUCUGUUUACUGCAGUUACCCAACCCGUGAGCCGCUGUGUAAAUCAUGGCACGCUGUGAUUUAGAGUGGAGCUGCUCUGCCCGUGGCGUGUGCAGCGUGUCCCUGGCCAGACCCCCACGCAGACGUCCCACUCCUCCAGAAGCCGGCAGAUAAGGGCAAUAAAAGCCACAGCUCUCUCCCA